Molecule: ribosomal RNA, 433 nt
Filed under: uncultured bacterium
Lineage: Bacteria
Description: partial 16S ribosomal RNA
Rfam family: Bacterial small subunit ribosomal RNA
Source: RNAcentral
AACGAACGCUGGCGGCAGGCCUAACACAUGCAAGUCGAGCGCGCCCUUCGGGGUGAGCGGCGGACGGGUGAGUAACGCGUGGGAACGUGCCCUUCUCUGCGGAAUAGCCUCGGGAAACUGAGAGUAAUACCGCAUACGCCCUUUGGGGGAAAGAUUUAUCGGAGAAGGGUCGGCCCGCGUUGGAUUAGGUAGUUGGUGGGGUAAUGGCGGACCAAGCCGACGAUCCAUAGCUGGUUUGAGAGGAUGAUCAGCUACACUGGGACUGAGACACGGCCCAGCCUCCUACGGGAGGGAGCAGUGGGGAAUCUUAGACAAUGGGGGCAACCCUGAUCUAGCCAUGCCGCGUGAGUGAUGAAGGCCUUAGGGUUGUAAAGCUCUUUCAGCUGGGAAGAUAAUGACGGUACCAGCAGAAGAAGCCCCGGCUAACUCCGUG